RNAcentral lists this small RNA (27 nucleotides) under Bombyx mori (domestic silkworm). RNAcentral describes it as "ovarian small RNA-16019". The record is from RNAcentral. Lineage: Eukaryota; Metazoa; Arthropoda; Insecta; Lepidoptera; Bombycidae.
GAGUGAUCCGUGGACGUGGUCACGCUC